This 462-nucleotide ribosomal RNA is filed under the name uncultured bacterium. Its description in RNAcentral is "partial 16S ribosomal RNA". It matches the Rfam family "Bacterial small subunit ribosomal RNA", at positions 28 to 507 of the family's 1533-position model. The record is from RNAcentral.
GAUGAACGCUGACCGAAUGCUUAACACAUGCAAGUCAUUGGCGAAGCUGCGCUUGCGCAGUCUAGCCAAGGCGGACGGGUGAGUAACGCGUAAGGAACUUGCCCUGCAGACAGGGAUAACAGACGGAAACGACUGAUAACACCUGGUAUUGUCAGGCUGGCGCAUGCCGGCCUGAUGAAAGGAGACGCUGCAGGAGAGCCUUGCGUCCUAUUAGCUAGUUGGUGGGGUAACGGCCCACCAAGGCGAUGAUAGGUAGCCGGCCGGAGAGGGUGAACGGCCACAAGGGGACUGGGAGACGGCAGUGGCGACUACGGGAGGCAGCAGUGGAGAAUAUUGGAGAAUGGGGGCAACCGUGAUGAAGCACUUCUGUGUGCACAAAGAUGUUUUUCGGAUUGUAAAGUGCUUUCAGAAGGGAAGAAGAAAGUGACGGUACCUGCAGAAGAAGCGACGGCUAAAUACGUG